GACGAACCGAGCGAACGUUGUUCGGAAUCACUGGGCUUAAAGGGCGCGUAGGCGGGUGCUCAAGUCCGGGGUGAAAUCCUCCAGCUCAACUGGAGAACUGCCUCGGAUACUGGGUGCCUCGAGUGUGGUAGGGGUGUGCGGAACUAUCGGUGGAGCGGUGAAAUGCGUUGAUAUCGAUAGGAACUCCGGUGGCGAAGGCGGCACACUGGACCACAACUGACGCUGAGGCGCGAAAGCUAGGGGAGCAAACGGG
This 253-nucleotide ribosomal RNA is filed under the name uncultured bacterium. Its description in RNAcentral is "partial 16S ribosomal RNA". It matches the Rfam family "Bacterial small subunit ribosomal RNA", at positions 524 to 776 of the family's 1533-position model. The record is from RNAcentral.